Molecule: ribosomal RNA, 444 nt
Filed under: uncultured bacterium
Lineage: Bacteria
Description: bacterial SSU rRNA
Rfam family: Bacterial small subunit ribosomal RNA
Source: RNAcentral
GUCGGGAAUCUUGCGCAAUGGGCGAAAGCCUGACGCAGCGACGCCGCGUGGGUGACGAAGUCCUUCGGGAUGUAAAGCCCUGUUGAGAGAGACGACACGCCCCAUGAUGAAUGGGGUCGACGGUAUCUCUCGAGGAAGCCACGGCUAACUCCGUGCCAGCAGCCGCGGUAAUACGGGGGUGGCAAGCGUUGUCCGGAUUUACUGGGCGUAAAGGGCAUGUAGGCGUUUCGCUAAGCCCUAUCUGAAAUCCUUCGGCUUAACCGGAGGGCUGGAUAGGGGACUAUCGGAAUUGAGGCGAGAAGAGGAGAGUGGAAUUCCCGGUGUAGCGGUGAAAUGUGUAGAUAUCGGGAGGAACACCAGUGGCGAAGGCGGCUCUCUGGUCUCGUCCUGACGCUAAUAUGCGAAAGCUGGGGGAGCAAACAGGAUUAGAAACCCCAGUAGUCC